Molecule: small nuclear RNA, 151 nt
Organism: Vigna angularis (adzuki bean)
Lineage: Eukaryota; Viridiplantae; Streptophyta; Magnoliopsida; Fabales; Fabaceae
Rfam family: U12 minor spliceosomal RNA
About the family: Although the U12 sequence is very divergent from that of U2, the two are functionally analogous.
Source: Rfam
UUGCCUUAAACUAAUGAGUAAGGAAAACAAAACAAGCAGUGGGAGCUGCUUGCAGCACUCAUUCUGAUGUGCACGAAUUUUUGAAGGGGUUAUAGGUUGUCCUUGAGCAGCUGUUGCUUACAAAGCUACUUAACUGAUUAAAAUUUAUUUU